This 447-nucleotide ribosomal RNA is filed under the name uncultured bacterium. Its description in RNAcentral is "partial 16S ribosomal RNA". It matches the Rfam family "Bacterial small subunit ribosomal RNA", at positions 29 to 523 of the family's 1533-position model. The record is from RNAcentral.
AACGAACGCUGGCGGCAGGCUUAACACAUGCAAGUCGAGCGCCCCGCAAGGGGAGCGGCAGACGGGUGAGUAACGCGUGGGAACGUACCCUUUGCUACGGAAUAGCUCCGGGAAACUGGAAUUAAUACCGUAUGUGCCCUACGGGGGAAAGAUUUAUCGGCAAAGGAUCGGCCCGCGUUGGAUUAGCUAGUUGGUGGGGUAAUGGCCUACCAAGGCGACGAUCCAUAGCUGGUCUGAGAGGAUGAUCAGCCACAUUAGGACUGAGACACGGCCCAAACUCCUACGGGAGGCAGCAGUGGGGAAUAUUGGACAAUGGGCGCAAGCCUGAUCCAGCCAUGCCGCGUGAGUGAUGAAGGCCUUAGGGUUGUAAAGCUCUUUCACCGGAGAAGAUAAUGACGGUAUCCGGAGAAGAAGCCCCGGCUAACUUCGUGCCAGCAGCCGCAGUAA